Molecule: ribosomal RNA, 46 nt
Filed under: Natronoflexus pectinivorans
Lineage: Bacteria; Pseudomonadati; Bacteroidota; Bacteroidia; Marinilabiliales; Marinilabiliaceae
Source: RNAcentral
CGCCGAUGGUACUGCGUAAAAGUGGGAGAGUAGGUCGCCGCCGACC